UACGUAAGGGGCAAGCGUUGUCCGGAUUUAUUGGGCGUAAAGAGCGUGUAGGCGGCCAUACAGGUCCGUUGUGAAAACUGGAGGCUUAACCUCCAGACGUCGAUGGAAACCGUAUGGCUAGAGUCCGGAAGAGGAGAGUGGAAUUCCUGGUGUAGCGGUGAAAUGCGCAGAUAUCAGGAAGAACACCCGUGGCGAAGGCGGCUCUCUGGGACGGUACUGACGCUGAGGAGCGAAAGCGUGGGGAGCGAACAGG
Molecule: ribosomal RNA, 253 nt
Filed under: uncultured bacterium
Lineage: Bacteria
Description: partial 16S ribosomal RNA
Rfam family: Bacterial small subunit ribosomal RNA
Source: RNAcentral